This 453-nucleotide ribosomal RNA is filed under the name uncultured Porphyromonadaceae bacterium. Its description in RNAcentral is "bacterial SSU rRNA". It matches the Rfam family "Bacterial small subunit ribosomal RNA", at positions 341 to 792 of the family's 1533-position model. Lineage: Bacteria; Pseudomonadati; Bacteroidota; Bacteroidia; Bacteroidales; Porphyromonadaceae. The record is from RNAcentral.
ACGGAAGGCAGCAGUGAGGAAUAUUGGUCAAUGGACGGAAGUCUGAACCAGCCAAGUCGCGUGCGGGAUGAAGGCCCUACGGGUCGUAAACCGCUUUUGUACGGGGAUAAAGUCACCCACGUGUGGGUGUUGUAGGUACCGUAAGAAUAAGGAUCGGCUAACUCCGUGCCAGCAGCCGCGGUAAUACGGAGGAUCCGAGCGUUAUCCGGAUUUAUUGGGUUUAAAGGGUGCGCAGGCGGGCUGCUAAGUCGCCGGUGAAAUGUCAGGGCUCAACCUUGGCACUGCCGGAGAUACUGGCGGCCUUGAGAGUGGCGGAGGUAUCCGGAAUUUGUGGUGUAGCGGUGAAAUGCAUAGAUAUCACACAGAACACCGAUUGCGAAGGCAGGAUACCAUACCAUAUCUGACGCUCAGGCACGAAAGCGUGGGGAGCGAACAGGAUUAGAUACCCUGGUA